UAUUAAAAAUUACAUUCAUUUAUAUAAUUAAAAAUUGAUAUAAUUGAUAGAAUAAUCAGAUAGUGACAUAUGAUGUGCCACGUGUACCUUAUUCAGAUAUAUAGAGACUAGUUUUUAAUAGUAGAAAUAGAUAAAAUUUUUAACA
Gossypium hirsutum (cotton) is the source of this 145-nucleotide non-coding RNA. The record is from Rfam. Lineage: Eukaryota; Viridiplantae; Streptophyta; Magnoliopsida; Malvales; Malvaceae.